ACGUAGGGUGCGAGCGUUACUCGGAAUUACUGGGCGUAAAGGGCGCGUAGGCGGCGCACCAAGUUAGGCGUGAAAGUCCUGGGCUCAACCUGGGAACUGCGCUUGAUACUGGUGUGCUUGAGGAUGGAAGAGGGUUGUGGAAUUCCCAGUGUAGAGGUGAAAUUCGUAGAUAUUGGGAAGAACACCGGUGGCGAAGGCGGCAACCUGGUCCAUUACUGACGCUGAGGCGCGACAGCGUGGGGAGCAAACAGGA
This 253-nucleotide ribosomal RNA is filed under the name uncultured prokaryote. Its description in RNAcentral is "partial 16S ribosomal RNA". It matches the Rfam family "Bacterial small subunit ribosomal RNA", at positions 525 to 777 of the family's 1533-position model. The record is from RNAcentral.